AAGACCAUAGUUUCAAGGAUCAUUUCUAUAGUUGGUUACUAGAGAAGUUUCUCUGAAGGUGUAGGGCAUAGGAAGCCACAAGGAGGAGGCACAGCAUUCUGUGCUGAGCUUAAAGCCCUGUCCAGGUGUUGCUUUCUUGCAAAUGUCUACUGCCAUGGAUGAUCUUUCUUCUCUCCCAUUUUGGGGGAGUGAGAGGAAGAGAACACAUUCUGAGUGGA
This 218-nucleotide small nucleolar RNA is filed under the name Dasypus novemcinctus (nine-banded armadillo). RNAcentral's name for it is "Small nucleolar RNA U3 (ENSDNOG00000033416.1)". It matches the Rfam family "Small nucleolar RNA U3". Rfam says of the family: Small nucleolar RNAs (snoRNAs) are involved in the processing and modification of rRNA in the nucleolus. There are two main classes of snoRNAs: the box C/D class, and the box H/ACA class. The record is from RNAcentral. Lineage: Eukaryota; Metazoa; Chordata; Mammalia; Cingulata; Dasypodidae.